GAUGAACGCUGGCGGCGUGCCUAAUACAUGCAAGUCGAGCGAACGGACGAGAAGCUUGCUUCUCUGAUGUUAGCGGCGGACGGGUGAGUAACACGUGGAUAACCUACCUAUAAGACUGGGAUAACUUCGGGAAACCGGAGCUAAUACCGGAUAAUAUUUUGAACCGCAUGGUUCAAAAGUGAAAGACGGUCUUGCUGUCACUUAUAGAUGGAUCCGCGCUGCAUUAGCUAGUUGGUAAGGUAACGGCUUACCAAGGCAACGAUGCAUAGCCGACCUGAGAGGGUGAUCGCCCCCACUGGAACUGGGACACGGUCCAGACUCCUACGGGAGGCAGCAGUAGGGAAUCUUCCGCAAUGGGCGAAAGCCUGACGGAGCAACGCCGCGUGAGUGAUGAAGGUCUUCGGAUCGUAAAACUCUGUUAUUAGGGAAGAACAUAUGUGUAAGUAACUGUGCACAUCUUGACGGUACCUAAUCAGAAAGCCACGGCUAACUACGUG
This 497-nucleotide ribosomal RNA is filed under the name uncultured bacterium. Its description in RNAcentral is "partial 16S ribosomal RNA". It matches the Rfam family "Bacterial small subunit ribosomal RNA", at positions 28 to 507 of the family's 1533-position model. The record is from RNAcentral.